Long non-coding RNA from Oncorhynchus keta (chum salmon), 686 nucleotides. RefSeq lists it as uncharacterized. Lineage: Eukaryota; Metazoa; Chordata; Actinopteri; Salmoniformes; Salmonidae. The transcript is spliced from 5 exons. The record is from RefSeq and is a predicted model, not a curated record.
CCAGGUUAAUGACAGAUGGUGUCUAUUAGACUCUGAAACCAGGUUAAUGACAGAUGGUGUCUAUUAGACUGAAACCAGGUUAAUGACAGAUGGUGUCUAUUAGACUGAAACCAGGUUAAUGACAGAUGGUGUGUAUUAGACUGAAACCAGGUUAAUGACAGAUGGUGUCUAUUAGACUGAAACCAGGUUAAUGACAGAUGGUGUCUAUUAGACUGAAACCAGGUUAAUGACAGAUGGUGUGUAUUAGACUGAAACCAGGUUAAUGACAGAUGGUGUGUAUUAGACUCUGAAACCAGGUUAAUGACAGAUGGUGUGUAUUAGACUCUGAAACCAGGUUAAUGACAGAUGGUGUGUAUUAGACUGAAACCAGGUUAAUGACAGAUGGUGUGUAUUAGACUGAAACCAGGUUAAUGACAGAUGGUGUCUAUUAGACUGAAACCAGGUUAAUGACAGAUGGUGUGUAUUAGACUGAAACCAGGUUAAUGACAGAUGGUGUGUAUUAGACUCUGAAACCAGGUUAAUGACAGAUGGUGUGUAUUAGACUGAAACCAGGUUAAUGACAGAUGGUGUGUAUUAGACUGAAACCAGGUUAAUGACAGAUGGUGUGUAUUAGACUGAAACCAGGUUAAUGACAGAUGGUGUGUAUUAGACUCUGAAACCAGGUUAAUGACAGAUGGUGUCUAUUA